UCUGGGACAAGCCCUGGAAACGGGGUCUAAUACCGGAUAAUACUCCUGCCUGCAUGGGCGGGGGUUGAAAGCUCCGGCGGUGAAGGAUGAGCCCGCGGCCUAUCAGCUUGUUGGUGGGGUAAUGGCCCACCAAGGCGACGACGGGUAGCCGGCCUGAGAGGGCGACCGGCCACACUGGGACUGAGACACGGCCCAGACUCCUACGGGAGGCAGCAGUGGGGAAUAUUGCACAAUGGGCGAAAGCCUGAUGCAGCGACGCCGCGUGAGGGAUGACGGCCUUCGGGUUGUAAACCUCUUUCAGCAGGGAAGAAGCGAAAGUGACGGUACCUGCAGAAGAAGCGCCGGCUAACUACGUGCCAGCAGCCGCGGUAAUACGUAGGGCGCAAGCGUUGUCCGGAAUUAUUGGGCGUAAAGAGCUCGUAGGCGGCUUGUCACGUCGGAUGUGAAAGCCCGAGGCUUAACCUCGGGUCUGCAUUCGAUACGGGCUAGCUAGAGUGUGGUAGGGGAGAUCGGAAUUCCUGGUGUAGCGGUGAAAUGCGCAGAUAUCAGGAGGAACACCGGUGGCGAAGGCGGAUCUCUGGGCCAUUACUGACGCUGAGGAGCGAAAGCGUGGGGAGCGAACAGGAUUAGAUACCCUGGUAGUCCACGCCGUAAACGUUGGGAACUAGUGUUGGCGACAUUCCACGUCGUCGGUGCCGCAGCUAACGCAUUAAGUUCCCCGCCUGG
This 726-nucleotide ribosomal RNA is filed under the name Streptomyces sp. RNAcentral's name for it is "bacterial SSU rRNA". It matches the Rfam family "Bacterial small subunit ribosomal RNA", at positions 137 to 876 of the family's 1533-position model. Lineage: Bacteria; Bacillati; Actinomycetota; Actinomycetes; Kitasatosporales; Streptomycetaceae. The record is from RNAcentral.